This is a non-coding RNA of Nerophis lumbriciformis (worm pipefish), 849 nucleotides long. The record is from RefSeq and is a predicted model, not a curated record. NCBI's taxonomy places the organism in Eukaryota, Metazoa, Chordata, Actinopteri, Syngnathiformes, Syngnathidae.
AGAGCGGUUGAAUGGAGAAAAUUGGGACAGUGAUGAAGAAGUCCAUGUUCCAUGGCCACUCAACAAAGCAGGAGGAAGGAAGCAGUCACAAACCAAAUACGUGGCAAGAAUUCUGAGAUUUGGUGAAGACACACGUGAACUGACGCCAUAUUUGAAAGCCGCUCAGGAUGGCAAGGAUGUACCCCUUACUGGUGAUUUGGAAUAUGGCAGAGGCAAGAGAAACAAACAGCCAAAGUCUUGGUCAUCAGACAGUGAGAGCAAGGAUGAAAGUGACGAGGAGACUCUAUCUGACAGACAGCAGAAGAAAAAGAGGAAAGUAAGCCGUACAGCUGUGGGAUAUGAUGCUCGGGCACAAUUGAAGGCCCAACUUGCUGCUCUGGGAAGAACUUCACCGAAAGAUACAUGUACAGAAAUGGAAUCCCUGAAGAAGGAAGUCCUCCAGUUGAGAGAGGAAAACAAAUCCCUUCGAGAUGCAUUGAGGGUUGUUGAAGGACUUCCUGGCCUGCUAAUGAAGAUGGACGACUUAUCACGUCAGGCAACAAUACUAUCAGCUCGACGUCCUGCUGUCGCUCUGCAGAUACCGACAACUUCUGCAAUUGGCCAAUCCGUACCAUCAACAUUGGUACAGACUACCGAGAAAUUGUCACAGCCACCGUAUCCUUCAACGCCAACCAGUCACAGAUCUUCGCCAGUGCCAUUCAGGUCACCAACUGUGACACCGACACAGGCCCAUCUACGGCGGGUGUUUGAUUACGAGGUCGAUGAGGAUGGCCAGGUAAGUGUGUUGUGUGUUAUUUUCAGUAAAUGUCACAGCACCAAAUGGUAUUUGGUUUUUUUUAAUAUUAAACU